GACGUGCUCAGUCAGGGAUGGGAAAAAUUGCUUGCCGUAAAGGGCAUAGUUAUUCAUAUACGCUUACAUGCUACGAAGAAGUCGAACCUGAAGUCGAUAUAUACACAUAUACAAACACUGUUAGUGCAACAUGUUAUUUGAUGGAAUGAAGUGGUAUAAGCGCACAGCAUUAAUUUAUGCAAUCGGAACUUGGACUUUGCUUGGGUCUUGUGCAUAUUACACAUUGUACAAAAGCGACGCACGAGUCAUUAUACGUAAAGAAGAGGAGGAGGAGAAGGAUGCAACACCAAAUGUGAGAAUAUUUAAAUCAUCUCACAUGUCAACAAAAAUAACCUACAAGGAAGAUUUUGUCCCAUAUUCCACAAGAUUUCUGAAACUUUUCAAACCCAGAGACGAUGACACUUCAGGAAAUGAAAAUGAUGAAAAAUAAAAUUCAUGUCAUUUUAUAUUGCACUACUAUGCAAUGUAUUUUCUUACAUUGUCAUUGGAAUGUUUUCCAUGAAUGUACUUUAAAAUAAAAAUGUCUGGAAUAGCUUUUUAA
Hemibagrus wyckioides is the source of this 541-nucleotide long non-coding RNA. RefSeq lists it as uncharacterized. The record is from RefSeq and is a predicted model, not a curated record. The transcript is spliced from 2 exons. Lineage: Eukaryota; Metazoa; Chordata; Actinopteri; Siluriformes; Bagridae.